RNAcentral lists this ribosomal RNA (276 nucleotides) under Xanthomonas oryzae pv. oryzae. Its description in RNAcentral is "partial 23S ribosomal RNA". It matches the Rfam family "Bacterial large subunit ribosomal RNA", at positions 15 to 288 of the family's 2925-position model. Lineage: Bacteria; Pseudomonadati; Pseudomonadota; Gammaproteobacteria; Lysobacterales; Lysobacteraceae. The record is from RNAcentral.
GGGCGCACGGUGGAUGCCUUGACACUAGGAGUCGAUGAAGGACGGGACUAACGCCGAUAUGCUUCGGGGAGCUGUAAGUAAGCUUUGAUCCGAAGAUUUCCGAAUGGGGAAACCCACCAUACGUAAUGGUAUGGUAUCCUUAUCUGAAUACAUAGGGUAAGGAAGACAGACCCAGGGAACUGAAACAUCUAAGUACCUGGAGGAAGAGAAAGCAAAUGCGAUUUCCUGAGUAGCGGCGAGCGAAACGGAACAUAGCCCAAACCAAGAGGCUUGCCU